AGAGUUUGAUCAUGGCUCAGGAUGAACGCUGGCGGCGUGCCUAACACAUGCAAGUCGAACGACCCUUCGGGGUAAGUGGCGGACGGGUGAGGAACACGUAGCUGACCUGCCUUCGGGCGCGGGAUAACGUCGGGAAACCGACGCUAAUACCGCAUAAGCUCACGGACUUUAGAGGUCUGCGGGAAAAGGGCUUCGGCUCACCGGAAGAGGGGGCUGCGACCCAUCAGGUAGUUGGGGUGGUAACGGCACACCAAGCCGACGACGGGUCGGGGGUCUGAGAGGAUGACCCCCCACACUGGGACUGAGACACGGCCCAGACUCCUACGGGAGGCAGCAGUGAGGGAUCUUGCACAAUGGGGGCAACCCUGAUGCAGCGACGCCGCGUGGGUGAUGAAGGCUUUCGGGUCGUAAAGCCCUUUUGCCACUGACGAGCACGGACGGUAGGUGGCGAAUAAGUCUCGGCUAACUACGUGCCAGCCGCCGCGGUAAUAC
Molecule: ribosomal RNA, 492 nt
Filed under: uncultured bacterium
Lineage: Bacteria
Description: bacterial SSU rRNA
Rfam family: Bacterial small subunit ribosomal RNA
Source: RNAcentral